AUAUAUAUAUAUAUAUAUAUGGAAGUUUCUAAGAGAGUAAUGUAGAAGUAAAGAGUCAAGUGAAAGUACAAAACAAGUAACUGAAGGAAUUUUUUAAAAGAUACAUUUACAGAGAAACAGAAAAGCAAUUAAAAACUGUUUUUCAAACCAAAGAAUAAAAGAAACCAUGAAGAAAAAUUAAGGCAGUAGAAACGGCAUGAUCAAAAUUUUAACUUUGUUCCCUAGCAUUUAAACUAUCAUUAGACCACCUGAAGGAGCAUCAAUCAAUGAAUUAGUUCUCAUAAGAUAUAUUUGUUCAGACAACCAACCAAUUAAUGCAUUAUAAAACCAAUCAGAUUAAUCAACAAUCUUUUUUAUUUGGAUUUUUUGUGUUUCAUUUCGGAUUUUUGGUUUCAAGAAUUUGUAUGCAAAAGCAAGGAUAUUUAUAGCCAGCUCAAUGACUGUUAAGAGGAAACAUGACCCAGAGUUUCAGAAACAUAAUUAUUCAAACAUAAAAAUACUCAAGAAAUCAAAUAUUUUACACAAUGUGAAACUACGAGAAACCGAGAAUUGGUACACAAAUUCUUGGCUUGGUAAAUGACUAAAUAUUUAAUGAGAUUGAAGUUUCGCAGCAGAUUAAUUUGGAUCAGAGGUUUUGAAGGACCUCGAACAAAAUUUAUAAAGUUAUAAAAAAUUGAACUUAUCAGAAAAGGUCAUUUGGAAGCUGGGUACCCAGCACACACCAUCUGCCUGGGAUUAAGGAACAGGUAUCUUUCAGCAUUCUUGGAUUGAGAGGUUCAGAAAAAGAAAAACCCUAUAUAAAUCUCCUUUAGAAAGAUUAUUGGGACUUGGCAAGCAAUGCUUGAUGUCAGCACUACAUUGCUUUGUUGCCUAAUAAGAAAUUUAUGGAAGUUUUAAGUUGUCAAUUUUGUGCUUAUAUGAGCUAACAUGUGUAACACCUGGCAUGUUUGACAUAUUGAGGAGAUUUUUGUAAUGUCUAGUGCAUGAAUUAUAAGUAGGAUCUUCCCAAUAUCUCCACAAGGUAAUAACAAACUGUACAAACUAACUGCUUUUACUUCCAGGGAUUAUAGGUAGGAUGAUCCCGAUGUCUCCACAAAGUACUAAUGAACUGCACAAGCUAACUGUUUAUGCUUCAAAACUUUACAGACUAAUGGUAUUUAUAAAAAUUGAUAAUAACAACUAUACUCUUGGAUGUAGCACAAGUUGAGCAAAGACAUGAUUAAAUGAAUGACAAUAAAUAUGCCUCAAAUAUCUUUAUCAAACACGCUACCUGCCUACCUCUUUCUACUGUUCAGGCAAAUGAUACUGUCAACCUCUUUUAAUAGAAAAUAUAGCCAAUAACAUAAUUUCGAAAGGUUUAGUGACCUAAAACGGCUUGAACUUUACUGAAUCUGCAAUUAAGUUCCGUACUUCCAAUAUAGGAAAAUUUAGCCUGUACUUUAAUCUUUGAGUUUAAUAAUGGCCAAGCACCCAAAACCAUUUACUUCAUGUCAAAAAGACUUACAAAGAGAGGGGGGGAAAAAUUAAGCACCAUUGUUUAUAGAUUUGGUGGUCUAUAAUAAACAUACUGAGAAAUUGAUUUUACAUAUAAAUUAUAAUUGAAUCAAUUUUCAAGGCCUGGUGACAAUUGAUCACAUAACUAAAGUGCAAGGCUAUAAUUGGUAUUUCUAUAGUACAAGUGAUAACUGCAAAUUAAGUAGUUAAGGACUAACACAAGUUUACUAAUUAAGUCGACACAAGCAUAGUGCUCUUGACAAGGACAGAAAGUAUUGGACCGAGGACACUUGUGAAAAAUGAAAUAUGUAAUAUUUCUAGCAUU
RNAcentral lists this unclassified non-coding RNA (1819 nucleotides) under Hevea brasiliensis (rubber tree). The record is from RNAcentral. Lineage: Eukaryota; Viridiplantae; Streptophyta; Magnoliopsida; Malpighiales; Euphorbiaceae.